UUCUCUAUGCAGCAUUUAAAACAUCCGUUCCAGCUGAAAUCAAGAGGCUCUAAAUCUGGGUUUUACUAGUAUUUUCUACGGAUAAGAAAACUUCCUAAUGUAAUGUAAAUGUCUGUGGACGUCUGACAGACAUGUGCUAACUUCAGUGUGCACUGGUAUCUAUUUGCUUUUGUAAUAAAAUACAUUUAAUCACAG
Molecule: long non-coding RNA, 195 nt
Organism: Sinocyclocheilus grahami
Lineage: Eukaryota; Metazoa; Chordata; Actinopteri; Cypriniformes; Cyprinidae
Exons: 2
Source: RefSeq, a predicted model, not a curated record